RNAcentral lists this ribosomal RNA (253 nucleotides) under uncultured bacterium. RNAcentral's name for it is "partial 16S ribosomal RNA". It matches the Rfam family "Bacterial small subunit ribosomal RNA", at positions 524 to 776 of the family's 1533-position model. The record is from RNAcentral.
UACGGAGGGUGCAAGCAUUGAUCGGAAUUACUGGGCGUAAAGGGCGCGUAGGCGGUUUAGAAAGUCAGAUGUGAAAUUCCGGGGCUCAACCCCGGAGCUGCAUUUGAAACUUCUAGACUAGAGUACAGUUAGGGAAAACGGAAUUCCACGUGUAGCGGUGAAAUGCGUAGAGAUGUGGAAGAACACCAGUGGUGAAGACGGGUUUCUGGGCUGAAACUGACGCUGAGGCGCGAAAGCAAGGGGAGCAAACAGG